UGAAUAUUGCAUGUCUGCAAUUCACUGACAAAGCUAUGCCCAUACGUUUUGGUGAAGACACAAGCCAUUCCAGACGAACACCAUGCACAGAAUGUCAUAAACCACAGCUCUGCACUGACUUUCAUUCUUUUGAUUUUUAUAUCAAACAAACACGUACUCUUUCACUUCCGUGUCUGUGCAUAGAAAUAAGAAACCGUAUUUAUAACAGA
This is a long non-coding RNA of Haliotis rubra (blacklip abalone), 209 nucleotides long. RefSeq lists it as uncharacterized. The transcript is spliced from 3 exons. Lineage: Eukaryota; Metazoa; Mollusca; Gastropoda; Lepetellida; Haliotidae. The record is from RefSeq and is a predicted model, not a curated record.